Molecule: ribosomal RNA, 449 nt
Filed under: uncultured bacterium
Lineage: Bacteria
Description: bacterial SSU rRNA
Rfam family: Bacterial small subunit ribosomal RNA
Source: RNAcentral
CCAGACUCCUACGGGAGGCAGCAGUGGGGAAUAUUGCACAAUGGGCGAAGGCCUGAUGCAGCAACGCCGCGUGAAGGAAGAAGGGUUUCGGCUCGUAAACUUCUAUCAACAGGGACGAAAGAAAUGACGGUACCUGAAUAAGAAGCCCCGGCUAACUACGUGCCAGCAGCCGCGGUAAUACGUAGGGGGCAAGCGUUAUCCGGAAUUACUGGGCGUAAAGGGAGCGUAGGCGGCCUGCCAAGUCUGAUGUGAAAUACCGGGGCUCAACCCCGGGGCUGCAUUGGAAACUGGCAGGCUGGAGUGCCGGAGAGGCAGGCGGAAUUCCUAGUGUAGCGGUGAAAUGCGUAGAUAUUAGGAGGAACACCAGUGGCGAAGGCGGCCUGCUGGACGGUGACUGACGCUGAGGCUCGAAAGCGUGGGGAGCAAACAGGAUUAGAUACCCCAGUAAA